GAUGAACGCUGGCGGCGUGCCUAAUACAUGCAAGUCGAGCGAACGGACGAGAAGCUUGCUUCUCUGAUGUUAGCGGCGGACGGGUGAGUAACACGUGGAUAACCUACCUAUAAGACUGGGAUAACUUCGGGAAACCGGAGCUAAUACCGGAUAAUAUUUUGAACCGCAUGGUUCAAAAGUGAAAGACGGUCUUGCUGUCACUUAUAGAUGGAUCCGCGCUGCAUUAGCUAGUUGGUAAGGUAACGGCUUACCAAGGCAACGAUGCAUAGCCGACCUGAGAGGGUGAUCGGCCACACUGGAACUGAGACACGGUCCAGACUCCUACGGGAGGCAGCAGUAGGGAAUCUGACGCAAUGGGCGAAAGCCUGACGGAGCAACGCCGCGUGAGUGAUGAAGGUCUUCGGAUCGUAAAACUCUGUUAUUAGGGAAGAACAUAUGUGUAAGUAGCUGUGCACAUCUUGACGGUACCUAAUCAGAAAGCCACGGCUAACUACGUG
RNAcentral lists this ribosomal RNA (497 nucleotides) under uncultured bacterium. RNAcentral describes it as "partial 16S ribosomal RNA". It matches the Rfam family "Bacterial small subunit ribosomal RNA", at positions 28 to 507 of the family's 1533-position model. The record is from RNAcentral.